Molecule: non-coding RNA, 75 nt
Filed under: unclassified sequences
Source: RNAcentral
AGCACUUGGCAAAAAAGAUAAAAUCUCCUAGAAACUGAAGUUUCUUCGUCAAUUUUCCUAUUUUUGCUUUGUGCU